GUUACCUAUACAAUACUUUCCGCCAGAGAACUACAAGUGAAAAACUUGAAACUCAAAGGACUUGACGGUGUCCCAUAUCGACCUAGAGGAGCCUGUCCUAUAAUCGAUAACCCCCGUUCCACCCAACCCCAACUAGCAAAUUUACCAGCCUAUAUACCGCCGUCGACAGUCUACCCCAUGAGGGCUUAAUAGUAGACGCAACAGCCUUAACGCUAAUACGUCAGGUCAAGGUGUAGCAGAUGUUGGGGAAGAGAUUGGCUACAUUUUUUAUGAUAAAAAACACGAAUUGCAUUAUGAAACACUGCAUGAAGGUGAAUUUAGUAGUAAAACAGAUAAGAGUGUCUGUUUUAACAACGCUCUGGGACGCGU
RNAcentral lists this ribosomal RNA (369 nucleotides) under Podarcis tiliguerta. Its description in RNAcentral is "12S ribosomal RNA". It matches the Rfam family "Bacterial small subunit ribosomal RNA", at positions 852 to 1384 of the family's 1533-position model. The record is from RNAcentral. Lineage: Eukaryota; Metazoa; Chordata; Lepidosauria; Squamata; Lacertidae.